This 496-nucleotide ribosomal RNA is filed under the name uncultured bacterium. RNAcentral's name for it is "partial 16S ribosomal RNA". It matches the Rfam family "Bacterial small subunit ribosomal RNA", at positions 30 to 523 of the family's 1533-position model. The record is from RNAcentral.
AUUGAACGCUGGCGGCAGGCUUAACACAUGCAAGUCGAACGAUGACUCUCUAGCUUGCUAGAGAAGAUUAGUGGCGGACGGGUGAGUAACAUUUAGGAAUCUGCCUAGUAGUGGGGGAUAGCUCGGGGAAACUCGAAUUAAUACCGCAUACGACCUACGGGUGAAAGGGGGCGCAAGCUCUUGCUAUUAGAUGAGCCUAAAUCAGAUUAGCUAGUUGGUGGGGUAAAGGCCCACCAAGGCGACGAUCUGUAACUGGUCUGAGAGGAUGAUCAGUCACACCGGAACUGAGACACGGUCCGGACUCCUACGGGAGGCAGCAGUGGGGAAUAUUGGACAAUGGGGGCAACCCUGAUCCAGCCAUGCCGCGUGUGUGAAGAAGGCCUUUUGGUUGUAAAGCACUUUAAGCAGGGAGGAGAGGCUAAUGGUUAAUACCCAUUAGAUUAGACGUUACCUGCAGAAUAAGCACCGGCUAACUCUGUGCCAGCCGCCGCAGUAA